Molecule: ribosomal RNA, 468 nt
Filed under: uncultured bacterium
Lineage: Bacteria
Description: partial 16S ribosomal RNA
Rfam family: Bacterial small subunit ribosomal RNA
Source: RNAcentral
GACGAACGCUGGCGGCGUGCUUAACACAAGCAAGUCGAACGGAAAGGCCCUGCUUUUGUGGGGUGCUCGAGUGGCGAACGGGUGAGUAACACGUGAGUAACCUGCCCUUGACUUUGGGAUAACUUCAGGAAACUGGGGCUAAUACCGGAUAGGAGCUCCUGCUGCAUGGUGGGGGUUGGAAAGUUUCGGCGGUUGGGGAUGGACUCGCGGCUUAUCAGCUUGUUGGUGGGGUAGUGGCUUACCAAGGCUUUGACGGGUAGCCGGCCUGAGAGGGUGACCGGCCACAUUGGGACUGAGAUACGGCCCAGACUCCUACGGGAGGCAGCAGUGGGGAAUAUUGCACAAUGGGCGGAAGCCUGAUGCAGCAACGCCGCGUGCGGGAUGACGGCUUUCGGGUUGUAAACCGCUUUCGCCUGUGACGAAGCGUGAGUGACGGUAAUGGGUAAAGAAGCACCGGCUAACUACGUG